GCAUUGGUGGUUCAGUGGUAGAAUUUUUGCCUUCCGUGCAGGAGAUCCCAGUUCAAUUUCCGGCCAGUGCA
RNAcentral lists this transfer RNA (71 nucleotides) under Loxodonta africana (African savanna elephant). It matches the Rfam family "tRNA". From Rfam's summary of the family: Transfer RNA (tRNA) molecules are approximately 80 nucleotides in length. The record is from Rfam by way of RNAcentral. Lineage: Eukaryota; Metazoa; Chordata; Mammalia; Proboscidea; Elephantidae.